GACAGAGGGUGCAAACGUUGUUCGGAAUUACUGGGCGUAAAGCGCGUGUAGGCGGCCAACUAAGUCGGGCGUGAAAUCCCACGGCUCAACCGUGGAAGUGCACUCGAAACUGGAUGGCUAGAGUCCUGGAGAGGAAGGUGGAAUGCUUGGUGUAGAGGUGAAAUUCGUAGAUAUCAAGCGGAACACCGGUGGCGAAGGCGGCCUUCUGGACAGUGACUGACGGCUGAGA
Molecule: ribosomal RNA, 229 nt
Filed under: uncultured bacterium
Lineage: Bacteria
Description: partial 16S ribosomal RNA
Rfam family: Bacterial small subunit ribosomal RNA
Source: RNAcentral